Molecule: ribosomal RNA, 253 nt
Filed under: uncultured bacterium
Lineage: Bacteria
Description: partial 16S ribosomal RNA
Rfam family: Bacterial small subunit ribosomal RNA
Source: RNAcentral
UACGAAGGGUGCGAGCGUUAUUCGGAGUGAUUGGGCGUAAAGGGUGCGUAGGCGGUGCGUUAAGUCAACUGUCAAAUUUCCCAGCUUAACUGGGAGCAGGCGGUUGAAACUGGCGUGCUUGAGGGUGGAAGAGAGAAGCGGAAUUCUCGGAGUAGCGGUAAAAUGCGUAGAUCUCGAGAGGAACACCGAUGGCGAAGGCAGCUUCUUGGUCCAUUCCUGACGCUGAUGCACGAAAGCGUGGGGAGCAAACAGG